RNAcentral lists this ribosomal RNA (465 nucleotides) under uncultured Klebsiella sp. RNAcentral describes it as "bacterial SSU rRNA". It matches the Rfam family "Bacterial small subunit ribosomal RNA", at positions 338 to 795 of the family's 1533-position model. Lineage: Bacteria; Pseudomonadati; Pseudomonadota; Gammaproteobacteria; Enterobacterales; Enterobacteriaceae. The record is from RNAcentral.
CCUACGGGGGGCAGCAGUGGGGAAUAUUGCACAAUGGGCGCAAGCCUGAUGCAGCCAUGCCGCGUGUGUGAAGAAGGCCUUCGGGUUGUAAAGCACUUUCAGCGGGGAGGAAGGCGGUGAGGUUAAUAACCUCAUCGAUUGACGUUACCCGCAGAAGAAGCACCGGCUAACUCCGUGCCAGCAGCCGCGGUAAUACGGAGGGUGCACGCGUUAAUCGGAAUUACUGGGCGUAAAGCGCACGCAGGCGGUCUGUCAAGUCGGAUGUGAAAUCCCCGGGCUCAACCUGGGAACUGCAUUCGAAACUGGCAGGCUAGAGUCUUGUAGAGGGGGGUAGAAGUCCAGGUGUAGCGGUGAAAUGCGUAGAGAUCUGGAGGAAUACCGGUGGCGAAGGCGGCCCCCUGGACAAAGACUGACGCUCAGGUGCGAAAGCGUGGGGAGCAAACAGGAUUAGAUACCCGAGUAGUC